UCUCAAGAAACCCAGUCAUUCAAGAAGCAGAGCAUUGCAACUGCAAACAGCCAAAGCCCAAACGCGUACAGAAGGAGAGAGAGAGAGAGAGAGAAUAGAAGCAUGAGUGCAUGCAAGAACCAAGCAAUCACGACCCCCAGUGAAGAUGAAGAGUUCUUGUUCGCCAUGGAAAUGAAUGCUCUGAUAGCACUCCCCUUGGUCUUGAAGGCCACCAUCGAACUAGGGAUCCUCGAAAUACUGGCCGAGUGUGGGCCUAUGGCUCCACUUUCGCCUGCUCAGAUUGCCUCCCGUCUCUCCGCAAAGAACCCGGAAGCCCCCGUAACCCUUGACCGGAUCCUCCGGUUUCUCGCCAGCUACUCCAUCCUCUCUUGCACUCUCGCCCAAGACACAGAAGGCAACCCCCUGAGGCUUUACGGUUUGGGACCCAAAAGCAAACACUUCGUCAGAGCCCAUGGCACUGCCACUUUUGCUGCCCCCUUGAUGCUUAUGCUUACCGACAAUAUCGUCACUUCUAGCUGGUUUUUGCUUCUUCCUUCCUUCCUUUCUGCUGUGUUGAAUUGGCCAUGUCCUCCAUCACAUGCGCCGUAAGUAUAUCUUGAUUAUACCGUGCAUGACUUACAGGUACUGCUUAAAAGAAGAGAUUAUGGAAGGAGGAGACAACUUCAAACUUGCCAAUGGACUGCAUGUUUUUGAGUACACUAACAAAGACAGGAAAUUUAAUGAGAUAUUCAACAACGCAAUGCAAGCCCCGACAAACAUGUACAUGAGUAAAAUUGUGGAAUCUUAUCAAGGCUUCAGCAACGUCAAGACGGUGGUCGAUGUAGGUGGUGGCAUGGGUGCAAGCCUUAGGAUUUUGCUAUCCAAGUACCCCCACAUUCAUGGCAUAAACUUUGAUCUACCUCAUGUGGUCAAAGAGGCUCCUCCUUAUCCUGGUAAAGUUUAUUUAUUUUUCCCCUUCUGCUCCAUCUUCUUUUCUAAAAAAUAUCUCUCAUAGGGAUGAACUUUAUUAAGGAAAGUUUGAUUAUGUCGCUAAGUUAUUCAUAUCAUACCCUUAACACAAUUGUUCGAGUGAGUCAUCGCAAAUCGAAUACAAUUCAUACUGUACAAAAUCGGCUUCCAUAUAGAGAUAGAGAAUGAACUCUUUGGAUAAAGCUGAGGUGUUUGAGGAUGGAUUGAAUCACUUAUCUUUUGGUGACAGGCAUAGAACAUGUGGGAGGGGACAUGACAAACUACAUUCCUAAAGCGGACGUCAUUAUCAUGAAGGUUAUUCCUGUGUUCAAAAUAUCCUUAUUAGACACUAUCAAGCUCUUCGCAUGAUAAUAUGAUUAUUUCCAUAUAUUGCGGUUUGUCGGUUUAAUAAUGGCUACACAGCUCCUGUAACCCUUAUCUACACAUCCCUUAUCCAUCACUACUGCAUCGGAUGGUUAAUUACUUGCUAAAAAUAAAACUACUCAUAUCAAUAACGUUAUAAGUGGAAUGUGUAAAGAAAUGUUAAACAACCUGGAUGCUUAAUAUGUAUCCAAAACUAACUGAUCACCGGUCGUUUUGUAGUGGAUAAUUCACGGUGCAGAUGACAAGUUAUGCGUCAAGCUACUCAAAAACUGCUGGGAGGCAUUGCCAGAGAAGGGCAAGGUCGUGAUCGUGGACGCUGUCCUUCCAGAGCAUCCCGAAACAGAUAUCAUCACGAGGAACGCCCUCCUAGCGGACAUGUCCGUGCUGAAUAUCACUCCCAGCGGAAAGGAUCGGACAGAGAGAGAAUUUGAGGUCCUGGCACGUGCAUCCGGCUUCGAUGCUCCGAAACUUGUGUGUCGAGCUUACAACAUGUGGGUAGUCGAGUUACACAAAAGGAUGUGAUCUCUUCUCAUCAUAAGCAUGUAUUGAGCUUUCCCUAGGGAAUUCUCUGUAUGUUCGUGUUGGGUUUGGACACUUGAGCCAGACCCUUAACCUUGUGUGCCAUCUUAAGGAAUAAAUUAGUGCUGAUGGAAAAAUAAUUUCAUGCUUUACCUGAACGGUCCCCAAUGUCCUAUAAUCAUUCUUUUUUGGGAAAAUUCAAAAGUCCAUUUCACCCUUAUAUACGAAAUGUCGUGCAAAAAACCAUUAAUGUCAUUACCCUUCAAAUAAGAAGAAGAAACUAAUUAAAGAUAAUUAUCUUUAAAAGGGCCAAGUACCCAAAAAAUAAAAAGCCCAUGCACAUCCUUUCACAUCAAGAACAAUUGUAUUCACUUUUUCGAAAGUCUUAAAAAAGCACAGUUUUCGGCAUCUGUCAAAUUGCAGCGAGUCCGUCAAAACAUGGGGAGCUCACCCAACACAAAAUAUGGGUUGAAUUGAGUCUGUCAAAUAAAGUCCGAUAACAUGGGUUUGGAUAGAUUUUAAGUUCAAUCCAUAUAAAAAUUAUGGGAAUUGAUCAAGUAACGGCACCGUUACUCUUUCAAUGGUGGCAGUGGCAUGUGCACCGCUAAUUCUUUUACUUAUUUCUUCAGAAAAUUUGGAAAAUAAUUUGUCACUUGGGACUUGCUCCACUUCCACCCUUAUUUUGUCACUUGUAAUUUGAUUUUUCUUUUUGUUUGUUUGACAUCAAAAUAAAGAGAGAUCAAUUAAUUUCUUUUCUAACUUAGAGAAAUUUGAAAGUUUGCAAAUCAAAAAUAUUAUAUUUGCGCUUGUUAUUUAAUUUUCAUCUUACAUGAGUUUUCUUAAGUAUAUCAUUUAUAUCUUCUUCUUUUUUACCAAUGUCUACCAUUGAAAAAGAAUAGCUCAAUUACCCCCAUGAUUUUCUUCUCCCUUCAAGAACUUCAUCCAUUUGUUUCUUUAAAUAUGAAACUAGUCAUCUUCAUCAACAACUAAAAUGGGUGGCCAGUAUUGCACCGUUACUCAUUGGAAGUAACAAUACCGUCAUACUAACAGUGUCCUAAAAUUAUUAAUAAGUGUCCACAAAUUCUAACACUCACCAAAAUGUUUAAUCUCCCCACAACAAACACCAUCGGUCAUGCCAGCCAUAAUAGUCGUAGGUGCUCUCUCUCCACCCCCCCCCCCCCCCCCCCCGGCCUCCCCCUUACAGUUUUAUAUGGUCCACCAAGGGACGUAUCCUCGAUCUUAAUAGAUCAUAACUGCUCAUAUUUAUUUGUAACCCCUAUAUAAACUGUCGUAACACACAAAACUUAAGUAUGAACAAGAUUUACUCUUUUUUUUCCUCCAGCAGUCAUAGGGUGACUAGAGAUCCGUUGCUCAAGGGCCCUCGAAUUUAUUAUUUGGGAUGUUUUGAGAGUAUUGUAUUUUUGUGUGCUGGAUCAAAAUAGGUUAAUGGUUGGGUAUGUGGUUUGAUUGGUUGAUUCAAUCUAGGUUUGAAACAAAAGUAAUGGUUAUAUAAAAAAUGAAGCUCCUAGAAAAUAGGAGGAAUCAAUCUACUAGAGCACAUCUCCUCUUACUUGCCCUAAACCUUAAACCUUGAAAUCCUAACUCUAAACCCUAUUGCCUCCAUUCAAUAAAAAAAGGAGAGGCCUUAUGUGAUUCAUUUUGCUGAUUUUUUGUUCAAGAUAGAAUUCCAAAAAACAUAGACCAAUCCAUACUUUGAACUAAUAACUAUAGAACAUAAUAAGAGCGUCGUCUAAUUCAAUUCAUCAUCAUGAAUAGCCUAUGUAGCUUUUGAUAACUCUUCUAGCCAUGCAUUCUUUGGAAGCUUUGAAUUCUUUCCAAUCUUAGGCCUUGACUCACCCACCAUGGAUGAACAUUAAAGAAGAACCUUUAGGUUUCCGGGACAUUGAAUUCUCAUCAUGGUUGUGGUAAUAUCUGCUCCUCUUCAAAUUUUUGACGAUAUGAAAAAAUCAAAAGCCCCGCCAUCAAAAUCUAUGCCGUCCCUAUUCAAUCAUGGAAGCGGAAAUGCCUUAAGUGUCCCCUCUAGUCAGGAGUUGAGCCUACCAAUCACUAAUCAAUACAUUUUUCUCUCAUGUGUUUUUUCAUUUAUGGUUUGAUAUUCUUGUACUACUGGAACCACACCAAUCCAUCCUGGUUAUAGCCUAGCCUUACUAUGCUUACACAUGAGCUCCCAUUCUAGAUUGUAUUGGCAAAAUUGAUAGGGAAUUGGCUUCAUGUGUAGAUAGGGUCAAAUAUGCAAGGAAUGCAAAGACACAGACCCCUUCCUUCUCUUUUAGAUGAAUGGAGUGGUUUAGAAUUGCUCUUCAUAGACAAACUUGGGAUUUGCAAUCCAAGGUAAGAUCGGUUCAGGAUAAUUGGGUCUUUUACUAUCAUAAGGAUGUGCCAUUACUCAAAAAGUACUUCUAGGUAAUUGCCCCACAUAUUCUAUAACUAUUUAUGUGAAAAAGAAAUCAUGUGCCAAAGGGGAUUCUUAUUUGUACAUGUGGUUUAGAGUUUCGCAUCUUGUGCUCACUAGCAUGUAUGGAUCCCCCGACUCUAAUUGCUUUUCGCCUCUUCAUAUUUUUCAAUUUAUUUUUAUAAAAUCUUGGAUCUUGUUUGCAAAGGUGAACCAUCAGGAGGAAAGUUAAUGAAUUAUUAAUCUCAGAGACUUAGUGCGAACUCUCCCAAGCCCAAACCAACCACAACUUUGAGAUUUUAAUUUGUUCUAUUAAUCAUGCAAAUCAUUUUAUUACUAUAAGUUAUUAAUCAGUCAAUUAAAUACCUAAGUAAAGUGUGGAGAGCAUUUUACUUCUGCAAACUAGAUAUUCAUGAAUAUGGAGACUUGAUUGCACUAGAUAUUCAUGAAUAUGGAGACUUGAUUGCAUUAGAUAAAUUAACGCCCUUUCGAUGCUUUUUCUCUUUAUUUCUAUAUAUAUGUACUUUGCAAGUAGUCUUAGUCAAUUUUAAGUUAAGCCAUUAAUACGCAAAUGGUGGUCAUGUGAGUGCAAAAAUAAGAAUUUAAUAAUCAAUAAUUAAAGCAGUAAAUAAAUUGCUAGAGAUAAGGAAAGAACAUAAAUAUCUCAAGCAAGCGAAAGCAAAAACUCCAUUAACUCCAACACGCUAAGUGUUCUGCAAAAUGUUAACAAAACAAUAUAUGCAUGGCCUAAACAUGAUUUGUAAAUGCAAUAAUGAUUAUUUCUUUUUGGAUUUUUCUUGUUUAACAAAAGAUUAAACUAUAUGCAAUGCAACCUAUAUGUAAUUUUAAUGAUGUGAAAAAAGGAUUACUUAUGAAUUAACCCUAUUAUUUAACCAUGUGAAAAAAUUGUGUUUUCUUUAAAACACUAAACUCUAGGACACUAGAAAUGACUUAAUGACUUUUAUUUAAAAAAAGUAGUGACCUAAUGAUGAAGUGAUAAGUUUUAUAUCUUCUUUUACGAUACUUAAAUGAAAUGCAUUACAUGAGAUGCAUGAAAUGUGAUUAUUAAUGGUGUGAUUCUAUUAACACAUUAGCAUUAAAUUAAAUGAGUCACUAAUUGACAUGUGACUUAUAGAAAUAAACGUGCAAGUAUGUCAAUUGAAUCAUAAUGCAAUCUAAAUAUUCUAUUUUAUAUGUAAGGAUUAUUGUAAAUAUAGACAAGCGAAUCGGAUAAAAUUAGGUAGAAGGAAGGAAAAUAAAUGGGAUAUCGGAUUUAUGUAAUUCCGUCCAAAUAUCAGUACUUACAUCCAUAGAAAGAGCAGCACGUAAUUCCACUAUAAAAACGAGCAAUACACUAGAGAUUAUAAUCACUCAGGUAUCCAAAUACUCAUUCAGUGUUUCCCCGCCCCCCAAUUCACCAAAUAAGUCACAUAGGGUGCGUUUGGUUCAGCAUUCCCAAUAGGCUUUCAAUCUUCAAAGCCCAUUCGGGAAAUGCUAGACUAUUUGGUAACCAUUUUGAAGUAACUUUCAAGUGAAAGUCAGCAUUGGGAAGGUUAAAAGCCCAAUGCUAGUAGAGAUUAGCUUUGAGUUUUAAGCAUUUAGCUAAAUGCUGAAACUUAUUUUUAUUUUUUUCCAAAACUAUCAUCACUUAUUCUUCAAAUUUCUAAUUUUCCCUAGUUAUUACUUUUUUAAAUACCAAAAUAAUGCUAAAAAAAUCAAAAUUACAUAAUUACUAAAAAAUAAAUAUAUUUUGGUCUUUUUAAAAAAAUUAUUUAUAUAUUUGAUUUUUUUAGCAUUAUUGUCAAAAUUUGUAUUUAAAAAGUUACAUACAUUAUUUUUUUUUUCAAUUUUAACAAAUAAAUUAAAAAAUUCCAACGAAGAGUUUGGUCUCUUUUAAAAAAUAUAUAUAUACAUAUGUAUUUGAUUUUAUAGCAUUAUUUUCAAAUUUAUUUAAAAAAAUUGUAUAAAUUAUUUUUUCAAUUUUAAAAAAUAAAAAAUAAAAAAUUUCGAUAUUGGAUUUGGUCUUUUUUUUUUAAGUUAUACAUAUAUAUAUAUAUAUAUAUAUAUAUAUAUAUAUAUAUGCAUUAUUGUCAAAAUUUAUUUAAAAAAUUGCAUACAUUAUUUUUUUUUCAAUUUUAAACAAAUAAAAAUUUAAAAAAAUUCCGAUGAAAGGUUUGGUCUUUUUAAAUAUAUAUAUAUAUAUAUAUAUAGGUAUAUGUAUUUGAAUUUUUUAGUAUUAUUGUCAAAAUUUAUAUUUAAAAAGUUGUAUAAAUUAUUUAUUUCAAUUUUAAACAAAAGAAAUUUUAAAAAAAUAUUAAUAAUGCAAAGGGCUUUUCAAAUGUAUUUUCUACCAAACGGCAUUUCUCUCACAGUUACUUCUCAAAGCAUAGUUUACCAAACGGCAUUAUAGUGUUCAGCACCUUACAAUUCCUAGUGAAAUCUCACUCAAGGAAUUACACAAUUUCUACUCACAAGAAUUUAUCUAGCUAAAUCACUUAGGUGUAAUUACAACAAUACUCAACCCUCUCUGCCACCAAAGAACUUGGUGCACUCUCUUCACUCUGGCCACCAAGGACUUGGCGCACUCUCAGCCACUAAAGGAACUUGGCACACACUGGGCCACCUUGCCACAAUUCUUGUCCUACAUCAAUCACUCUUUUAUAAUAAAGAAGAGAGAGUCUUCAUCAUUCAAUGGCCAUGACCAUUGAAUAAUCGGUAUUGCAGUUCAUGAUGUUCACAUGAGUAAGAGACAUCUUGUACGUUGACCUUUCUUCCCAAAGUUCAGAAAGUCCACCUUGUAUUUUUUAAGAUUAACUCCAUGCAACUUCCUUUUUAGUUCCUCUUUCGACUAAGGUUUCCAUAUGCUUCUUUACGCGAAUUCCUUCAUUUAAUAUACAAAUAGAGGAAUUUCUUAUUUGCUGCUUGAGCAAAUCUCUUGACUCCAAUUACAGCUCCACAUAGAGCCAAGGAAAGAGAGUCAAUAAAACACGUAGGUUUUCUCCACUACUUUUCUACACAUGCAAAGAGACAAAUAAGUGCAAUCUUCUUCUUCUCACAAUUGUGGCUAAACAUAAGUGCAAUCAAUAGACUCUCAAACAUAUGCAUCUAACGUCUUUGGGGCGAAACUUGUUACUGUCUCACGUUGAAAUUUAUAUAAGCUAUCGUGCUUGAUUCCUCUCAUUAUCACGAGGGCACCUCAAACAUUCUUCAGAACUCCACCUUCGGAAAACACUUGCAACCAGCUAAGUCUAGGGCACCCAAGGAAAUUAAGUUCUUUUUCAAUUUAAAAACUUGUCUUACUCCAAUCAAUGUUCUCACAAUACCAUCAUACAUUCUAAUUUUAACAUCACCAAUACUCACAAUAUCACAUUUAGUGUUGUUUCUUAACUAGACUUUAUCACUACCCGUGCACUGAUAAGUGAUAAACCAAUUCCUAUUUUGUGUAGCAUGAAAUAAACAACUAAAAUCCAUUAUCCAUUCGUCAAAUGACAAAUCCUCAAUGACAGACAAAACACAAUUGACACAAUUAGAAUUAUUCUCAACUAUAGCUACAAUAUCAUCUAUAGACUCAACGCUAAUUUCCUUACGCUUUUCAUUUUUCAGCUUAAAACAGUCUCUUCUACAAUACCCACUCCUACCACAAUUCAAAUGACAACUCCACCAACCAUAGAUUGAUUAUGUCUAUUCUUGUUUAUACUACUUUUGCUAACAAAUGUACUAAUUAUUUCUCUACUUUCACCUACUAAAGUAGUAGGUACAAGUUUUCCAGAUUGUUUCAUACAAAUAUAUUCACUUAGAAUUAAAUCACAUACCUCAUCAAAUGUCAAGCUUCUUGACCCAAAGGAAUUACUAACAGUAGUAAUAGUAGUAUUCCAAUUAUCAGGGAAUGAAGAUAAUAAAAUCAAAGCAUGAACUUCAUCUUCAAAGUUAAUCUCAACCAAACUCAAUUGGUUAGCGACCUCAUUGAAUUCGUUAAUAUGCUCAGCUACUAACGUACCUUCACCCAUUUUUAAGUGAAAUAGACAUCACCACAAAUAGACCUUAUUGAUUGUAGAGGAUUCUCACCUUUCUUUCUUCCAUCAUUACUAAUAAGCUUCACAUCAGCUAACUCUGGCUCUAAUACCAAUUGUUGUGAAUAUAGACAAGCAAAUCGGAUAAAAUUAGGAAGAAAGAAUGAAAGGAAAUUGAACAUUGGAUUUAUGUAGUUCAAUCCGAAUAUCGAUAUCUACAUCUACGAGGAGAGCAAUACAUAAUUCCACUAUAGAAAUGAGCGAUACACUGGGAUUAAAAUCACUCCAGCAUCCAAACACUCACUCAGUGUUUCCCAACCUCCCAAUUAUGCUAAAUAACUCAUAGUAUUUAGCUCUCACAAUUCCUAGUGAAAUCUCACUCGAGGAAUUACACAAAUUCUACUCACAAGAAUUUAUCUCGCUAAAUCUCUCAAAUGUAAUUACAACAAUACUCAAUCCUCUUGGCCACCAAAGAACCUGGUGCAUUCUCCUCUCUGGCCACCAAGGACUUGGCACACUCUCAGCCAUCAAAAGAACUUGGCACUCUCUCGACUACCUUGGUGCAAUUCUUAUCCCACAUCUCUCGCACUCUUUUAUAAUGCAGAAAGAGAGAGUCUUCAUCAUUCAAUGGCCAUGGCCAUUGAAUAAUCAUUAUUGUAAUUCAUGAUGUUCAUAUGGGAAAGAAACAUCUUGUACGUUGGCUUCUCUUCUCAAGUUUAGAAAGUCCACAUUGCAUUUAUUAAAAUGGACUCCAUGCAACUUUCUUUCUCAUUCCUCCAUCGGCUAAGGCUUCCACGUGCUUCUUCAUGCGGAUUCAUUCAUUUAGUAUACAAACAGAGGAAUUUUUAUAGUUGUUACUUGAGCAAAUCUCUCCAUUGACUCCGAUUAUAGCUCCACAUAAAGCGAAGGAAAGAGAGUCAAUAAAACACACAGGUUUUCUUUACUAUUUUUCUACACAUGUAGAGAGAUAAAUGCAAAAUGAAAUCCAUACACAAUCUUCUUCUCACAAUUGCGGCUAAACAUAAAUACAAUCAUGUGUUGUUGGACCAAAGAAGAAGUCCCCCAAAAUCACAAGGUCGAGUUUCGUCCAGGUUCAAAUUCGAGACAUAUUUUAACAAUGCAUAUUGAAAAUUCAUGAAAAUAACAAGAAGCAAGGAUUAAGAGUUUGUGACAAUCGUGCAACCAUUGAAUACCGGCUUACUCGAGCAAAACUUAUGAACUUCUACGAAGCAACAUAUAUUGAUGUCAUCUAAAAACAUGACUAACUUUCUGUUUUUUUUUUUUUUUUUGGACGAACUGGACUUGAAUGUUGGUAAGAUUCAUCAUGAAUUAAGCAAUAAACCUUAUAUGAUAAACUAGCUGAGGCAACAUCUUGAUAUUUAUUUCAUAAAACCUUGCGCGCAGAGAGAGAGAGAGAGAGAGAGAGAGAGAGAGAGAGAGAGAGAGAGAGAGGGUGCUAACAAUACAACCUAGAGGAUUAAUAGGUUGUUUGAGAACUACGAAAAAUAUUUGCAGAAGAUAAGAAGUUCAGCUUUAAAUAUUAGCAAAAACAGAGUACUAUGUGUUGGUGCUAACAAUACAACCUAGAGGAUUAAUAGGUUGUUUGAGAACUACGAAAAAUAUUUGCAGAAGAUAAGAAGUUCAGCUUUAAAUAUUGGCAUAAACAUAUUAAAGAAAUCAAGUAUGGGUGCUCCUAUUUAACAAAACAUGAUAAUAAAGAUCAAGUAAUACAAAUAGUAAUGAGAUGGAAAAUUCACAAGCAGAUAUAUAGUACUUCGGCUUUAUCCCCAAGCCUACGUCCACUCCCAACACUAUCAGCCACAACAAGGUUAGAAUCCACUAAUAAUCUUCAAGAUAAGUUACAAUCAACAAGUACCGCAUUUCCAGUAGAUCACACUACUAGGACUCACAUACUUGUCACGGGUUGGUAGUUUCCUUGGCCGCGGAUUAACCCUUAUAGCUUCUUAUAACACUUGCUCAGUCCCAAGUUGUGGUGACAGACAAGGUGCAAUUCGUACCAAUACUGGACUUUAACAUAACAAAGAACAUGGUCCCCUUCGAUUUUUGAGGAUGACCACUAAAUGAAAUACAUCAUUAAAAACAAUGGUACUGAGUUUUGCUUUUCAACACGUAUGUAAGAUAUGGAUCCAACCCAAUGGGCCUUAUCCAAUUGUAUUCACCAAUGUCACAGAGAGAAGAUCUUUUCAUAUAUACAACCAAAAGGAUAAGGAAUUUUUAAUAGAUAAGUUGUCGUAGGAGCAUGAUGAGGGAGGGACUGCUUUUUAUUUUCUAAAUGGCCACAAGUUGGGUAUUUCCCCUAUUCUCAUCUUGGGAUGACGGCAAACGCAACCUCAGCGACAGUGGGAGCGGUUCUAAGAUCCAAUGAGGAACGGAACGUGUGGUUUUAAUGAACCGUAGCUGUUUGAACUUUUUUCGUGAUUCCUAUAAAAAUGUCGUAAUAUGCGAAAACUUAUAAGUGGAUGAGAACUGCUCUUUUUUAAAUCCAACGGUGGUAAAGAGAUUAGGGAUCCGUUCCUCAAGGGCACCAAGAAGUAUUUGGAGCAAGAAAUUGAUCGCCGGGUUCUUCUCGCUGAACAACGUCAUUUAGGGUCGUGUAUGCAAAUGAAACUUGUUGAGUGAGGUCAUUUUGGUCUUUUUAUACUGAUUGAAACCUAUAACAAGCCACGUCAAUCGAAAAAAAUAUUAAAAUAAUACCACGUCAGAUUUUUAGCAUCCAAAAUCGGAAUUAACAUUAAAGUGAUUGUUCUUUUUUUAAGCAACAUUUAAAUAAUCACUCAAGUGUAAUUACAACAAUACUCAACCCUCUCGGCCACCAAAGAACUUGGUGCAUUCUCUUCUCUCUAGCCACCAAGGACUUGGCACACUCUUGGCCACUAAAGGAACUUGGCGCACUCUUAGCCACCUUGCCACAAUUCUUGUCCUACAUCAGUCACUCUUUUAUAAUAAAGAAGAGAGGCUCUUCAUCAUUCAAUGGCCAUGACCAUUGAAUAAUCAAUAUUGCAGUUCAUGAUGUUCACAUGAGAAAGAGAUAUCUUGUGCAUUGACCUUUCUUCCCAAAGUUCAAAAAUCCACCUUGUAUUUUUUAAGAUUGGCUCCAUGCAACUUCCUUUUUCGUUCCUCUUUCGACUGAGGUUUCCAUAUGCUUCUUUACGCGAAUUCCUUCAUUUAAUAUACAAAUAGAGGAAUUUCCAUAUUUGCUGCUUGAGCAAAUCUCUUGACUCCAAUUACAGCUCCACAUAGAGCCAAGGAAAGAGAGUCAAUAAAACACGUAGGUUUUCUCUACUUCUUUUCUACACAUACAAAGAGACAAAUAAGUGCAAUCUUCUUCUUCUCACAAUUGUGGCUAAACAUAAGUGCGAUCAAUAGACUCUCAAACAAAUGCAUCUAACGUCUUUGGGGCGAAACUUGUUACUGUCUCACGUUGAAAUUCAUAUAAGCUAUUGUGCUUAAUUCCUCUUAUUAUCACAAUAGCACCUCAAACAUUCUUCAGAACUCCACCUUCUGAAAACACUUGCAACCAACUAAGUCUAGGGCACCAAAGGAAAUUAAGUUCUUUUUCAAUUCUGGAACUUGUCUUACUCCAAUCAAUGUUCUCACAAUACCAUCAUGCAUUCUAAUUUUAACAUCACCAACACUCGCAACAUCACAUUUAGCAUUGUUCCCUAACUAGACUUUAUCACUACCCGUGCACUGAUAAGUGAUAAACCAAUUCCUAUUUUGUGUAGCAUGAAAUAAACAACUAAAAUCCAUUAUCCAUUCGUCAAAUGACGAAUCCUCAAUGACAGACAAAACACAAUUGACACAAUUAGAAUUAUUCUCAACUAUAGCUACAAUAUCAUCUAUAGACUCAACGCUAAUUUCCUUACGCUUUUCAUUUUUCAGCUUAAAACAGUCUAUUCUACAAUACCCACUCCUACCACAAUUCAAAUGACAACUCCACCAACCAUAGAUUGAUUAUGUAUGUCAUUGUUUAUACUACUUUUGCUAACAGAUGUACUAAUUCUUUCUCUACUUUCACCUACUAAAGUAGUAGGUGCAAGUUUACCAGAUUGUUUCAUACAAAUAUCAUCACUUAGAAUCAAAUCACAUACCUCAUCAAAUGUCGAGCUUUUUGACCCAGAGGAAUUACUAACAAUAGUAAUAGUAGUAUUCCAAUUAUCAGGGAAUGAAGAUAAUAAAAUCAAAGCACGAACUUCAUCUUCAAAGUUGAUCUCAACCAAACUCAAUUGGUUGGUGACCUCAUUGAAUUCGUUGAUAUGCUCAGCUACGAACAUACCUUCACCCAUUUUUAAGUGAAAUAGACAUCACCACAAAUAGACCUUAUUGAUUGUAGAGGAUUCUCACCUUUCUUUCUUCCAUCAUUACCGAUAAGCUUCACACCAGCCAACUCUGGCUCUAAUACCAAUUGUUGUAAAUAUAGACAAGCAAAUCGGAUAAAAUUAGGAAGAAAGAAUAAAAGGAAAUUGAACAUUGGAUUUAUGUAGUUCAAUCCAAAUAUCGAUAUCUACAUCUACGAAGAGAGCAAUAUAGAAUUCUACUAUAGAAAUAAGCGAUACACUGGGAUUAAAAUCACUCAAGCAUCCAAACACUCACUUAGUGUUUCCCAACCCCCCCCCCCUCCCCAAUUAUGCUAAAUAACUUAUAGUAUUUAGCUCUCACAAUUCCUAGUGAAAUCUCACUCGAGGAAUUACACAAAUUCUACUCUCAAGAAUUUAUCUCGCUAAAUCUCUCAAAUGUAAUUACAACAAUACUCAAUCCUCUUGGCCACCAAAGAACUUGGUGCAUUCUCCUCUCUUGCCACCAAGGACUUGGCACACUCUCAACCAUCAAAGGAACUUGGCGCUCUCUCAACCACCUUGGUGCAAUUCUUAUCCCACGUCUCUCGCACUCUUUUAUAAUGCAGAAAGAGAGUCUUCAUUAUUCAAUGGCCAAUCAUUAUUGUACAUCAUGAUGUUCACAUGGGAAAGAGACAUCUUGUACGUUGGCUUCUCUUCUCAAGUUUAGAAAGUCCACAUUGCAUUUAUUAAAAUGGACUCCAUGCAACUUUCUUUCUCAUUCCUCCAUCGGCUAAGGCUUCCACAUGCUUCUUCAUGCGGAUUCAUUCAUUUAGUAUACAAACGGAGGAAUUUUUAUAGUUGUUACUUGAGCAAAUCUCUCCAUUGACUCUGAUUAUAGCUCCACAUAAAGCGAAGGAAAGAGAGUCAAUAAAACACACAGGUUUUCUCUACUAUUUUUCUACACAUGUAGAGAGAUAAAUGCAAAAUGAAAUCCAUACACAAUCUUCUUCUCACAAUUGCGGCUAAACAUAAAUACAAUCAUGUGUUGUUGGACCAAAGAAGAAGUCCCACAAAAUCACAAGGUCGAGUUUCGUCCAGGUUCAAAUUCGAGACAUAUUUUAACAAUGCAUAUUGAAAUUCAUGAAAAUAACAACGAGCAUGGAUUAAGAGUUUGUGACAAUCGUGCAACCAUUGAAUACCGGCUUACUCGAGCAAAACUUAUGAACUUCUACGAAGCAACAUAUAUUGAUGUCAUCUAAAAACAUGACUUUCUGUUUUUUUGGACGAACUGGACUUGAAUGUUGGUAAGAUUCAUCAUGAAUUAAGCAAUAAACCUUAUAUGAUAAACUAGCUGAGGCAACAUCCUGAUAUUUAUUUCAUAAAACCUUGCAAUUUAAUUCAAUUCAAUUGAUAACGUGAUCAAUUCUUAAUAGACUAUAUACCCUAGUAUCAAAUUAAUCUCCUUUUUCCUAAAAAUCAAAGAAAUCAAGUACUGUCAAACAGUCUCAACCAUCAGUCACUCCAACGUACCAUACAAGCCUAUCCACUGAUAAUAAUUGUGUAGGUUUUCUUUUAGCAGAGCUAAUUGACAUGGCAAAAGAAAAAUCUGUGCAUAAAUACACUUUGUUCUAGGAGUUUAACCAUAUAUAUAUGAGAGAGAGAGAGAGUACUAUGUGUUGGUGCUAACAAUACAACCUAGAGGAUUAAUAGGUUGUUUGAGAACUACAAAAAACAUUUGCAGAAGUUAAGGUUCAGCUUUAAAUAUUGGCAGAAACAGAUUAAAGAAAUCAAGUACGGGUGCUCCUAUUUAACAGAACAUGAUAAUAAAGAUCAAGUAAUACAAAUAGUAAUGAGAUGGAAAAUUCACAAGCAGAUAUAAGUAGUCCGGCUUUAUCCCCAAGCCUACAUCCACUCCCAACACUAUCAGCCACAACAAAGUUAGAAUCCACUAAUAAUCUUCAAGAUAAGUUACAAUCAACAAGUACCGCAUUUCCAAUAGAUCACACUACUAGGACUCACAUACUUGUCACGGGUCGGUAGUUUCCUUGGCCGCAGAUUAACCCUUGUAGCUUCUUAUAACACUUGCUCAGUCCCAAGUUGUGGUGACAGACAAGGUGCAAUUCGCACCAAUACUGGACUUUAACAUAACAAAGAACAUGGUCCCCUUCGAUUUUUGAGGAUGACCACUAAAUGAAAUACAUCAUUAAAAACAAUGGUACUGAGUUUUGCUUUUCACCACGUAUGUAAGAUAUGGAUCCAACCCAACGGGCCUUAUCCAAUUGUAUUCACCAAUGUCACAGAGAGAAGAUCUUUUCAUAUAUACAACCAAAAGGAUAAGGAAUUUUUAAUAGAUAAGUUGUCGUAGGAGCAUGAUGAGGGAGGGACUGCUUUUUAUUUUCUAAAUGGCCACAAGUUGGGUAUUUCCCCUAUUCUCAUCUUUAAAAUAUACAUGUUUGGUUACCCAUAAUGCCCCUCAGAUCACGAGUUUGGCUAGAUUUUAAGUUACUCCAUUUUCAACCCAUGUAAUAUUAUUGACGAGUGUGUCCACUAUUCUGACCCCCACGAAAAUCUUUAAUAUCCACAACCUUGGGAUGACGGCAAACGCAACCUCAGCGACAGUGGGAGCGGUUCUAAGAUCCAAUGAGGAACGGAACGUGUGGUUUUAAUGAACCGUAGCUGUUUGAACUUUUUUCGUGAUUCCUAUAAAAAUGUCGUAAUAUGCGAAAACUUAUAAGUGGAUGAGAACUGCUCUUUUUUAAAUCCAACGGUGGUAAAGAGAUUAGGGAUCCGUUCCUCAAGGGCACCAAGAAGUAUUUGGAGCAAGAAAUUGAUCGCCGGGUUCUUCUCGCUGAACAACGUCAUUUAGGGUCGUGUAUGCAAAUGAAACUUGUUGAGUGAGGUCAUUUUGGUCUUUUUAUACUGAUUGAAACCUAUAACAAGCCACGUCAAUCGAAAAAAAUAUUAAAAUAAUACCACGUCAGAUUUUUAGCAUCCAAAAUCAGAAUUAACAUUAAAGUGAUUGUUCUUUUUUUAAGCAACAUUUAAAUAAUCCAGGAAAAAAAAUGUUAGUAUCAAAAUGGGUCUUAUAUGAAACUUUUGACACUCCAUUUUUUUUUUUUUUUGGUUGAGCAGUGACUUUGCCACUCACUUACCGUUAGUUAGUCAUGAUGAUUGACCCAUGGAAGAUAAGAACUUUAAAAACACGUCCAACCACCGAUAAUUUCAUAAUAUCAAACGGGUGAUGUUUUUUGUACUCCCCAAUAUAAGUUAAUCCCAUUAAACUAGGCACUCCGUAUCUUCUCAAUCAUAACCGUUUAUAGCGCUUUUAGUUCAGCAUUUUCAGAAGAUUUUGGGCCUAUAAAGGCCCAUUGUGCCAAAAUUGAGUUGUCGGGCAACAAAACUCCGAAGACAUUCGAGCAAAAAUUAGCGUUUCUAAAAUUCUUAAUGAAAGUCCGACCCAGCUUUGGCUUUAAGGACUAGAAAAAUGCUACCUUAGAGAGUUAAUGAAUUUUUUUUUUCCUAAUUUUGAUAUCGCCCAACUAUUUUCAAUUCCAAUUAUACCCUCACUAUCAAUUUGCUUUGCAAAUUAGAUUGGCAUCAUGUGAUGAUGGUGGCGGCAAGCUCUAAUCUGAUCGUCAACAAACUAGAUUUGACACUAACAAUCCUUGCCUCAUGUCAUGCAACCUCGGCAUGGCAUCAUUUGGCAUCAUUUGGAGAGAACAACCUCAGCCCUCGCCUUGGGUUGUUGUGGCCGUUGCCUAAGAUGAGUCGUACAAUCCAUCAUCAAGCUCAUACUCUCUCUCUCUCUCUCUCUCUCUCUCAAUUGUUUUUCAAAUUGGAUAUCGAAGUCCUCUGAUCUAAAGUCUUUUAUAUUUAUGCAGAACUUUUCCAAAAUGCUCAUCCACCUUGCUCUCUAGGCAGGCAAGCGACUUUCAUUACGCAAUUGUGGAAGUGAAUGUACUGCUGACCUUCAUUGAACAAGUAUGAAAGGAAACCACAGAUGGCAGCUAGUUAGAAAAUAACCCCAACCUAUGCAAAUAGGCUUCAAACCAUUGCUAAGUAGUUUUCUUUUGUAACAAAUGGACGAAGCCCAUACGCAGCAGUUAUCUCACAUCAUCAAUGAUUUUCUCAUUCAAUCACUAUCUGCAUUUCCUCCUCCAAUUAACAUUAUGGAGUCGAGCUUCCCCUUUCUUUCUGUUUAAUCAAUUCUUGAUUAUUGAGUUCCUUGCUGUCUUGACUUUAACCACUCAACUGCAUCACUAUUUGCUCGUCUUCUCUUUCUCGAUGUUCUUUUUCCUAGAAAAUAAUCGGUUAGGGCAGCAGAAGCACCAAAUGAAUACAUGCAACGCAUACUUAUCGACGAGUACACGCAAAGUUCUGGCUCCGGUGGCCCAAAAAGCUGAAAAUGUCCAUGAUGGUAGAUUUCCGGAGGUGAUGAUAAUUUUGAAAUACUAGUGGUAAGAGAAUAUCACCACUAACUUGCUUGUCAAGUCAUUUGUUGGUAAGUUGCCAAUGUUAUGGUGAAAAGGGUUAAUACUAUAAAAUCUCAAACUAAUACAUCACGUGUCAUAUUUACCUCAUACUCCAAACUAGUAUACCUAUGCUAUAUUUACCUAAAACUAGUUCUUGCGUCAAAAAAAGUUCAAAACUAAUACACUUGUGUCACAUUUAUCUCAAAAUUUGAAUUUUUUUUGGAUAUGAAGACUAGUUGGGGGUAAAUAUGAUAGUAGUGUACCCGUUUGAGAUUUUUUGUGACACGAAAAUUAAUUUGGGAUAAAUGUGAUAUGGGUGCGCCAAUUUCAAGUUUUUUAUAUUAUGAAAAUUAGUUUGGAGUAAUGGAAUUAGUGUACUAGUUUGGAGUUUUUUUAAAGUAUUAGCCCUUGUGAAUAUACCAAAGUCGAAAGUAUGUUUAGAAAAUUUUCAAAAUACCAACAGUCAAUAAUUUAGUAAAUCGCUAAUUUCUUUUACAUUCUACAAAUAUACUUAGUACAUGUGUAUGUAUUUUUUUUUUUUCCCAAUGGAAGUUCUACUUAGGACUGGGGAUUGAAAAAAAUUAAGGCUUCCCACAAAAGAGGUCAGCGGUUACUCAUGCUUAUUUUCUAGCAACAAAUUUUUGUGAUGAUCUUAUCUACAUCCAAAAUCACCUCAUCAAGUGUGAAGGGUCCAACCCCCACGAUUACAUGACAAUGUUCAUUGAAUGACUGACGAGAUUAUUGCCCAAUUACACUUCCACAACAUUUAUAGGCUACAAAGAACUGCAAAAUUUAAAUGGAUACCCCUUCUGUCACUCAAAUUUCACCAGUCACAUGACGAGGCAAGGUAAUGCAUCAAGCAUGAACCCAGAUUCCUCACGACCGCAUGACGAAUGGACGGCUGUUUCAUUCCAAACUCAUGAGGUGAUCUUAUGGAUACCAAUAUUCAAGUCAGAAGAGAAGGAUAUGAGAAGAGGAAGAUAUUGGUGCCAGACGGCUGCAAAGACACGUUUUUGGUGAGCUUUAAUAGACUGCGAAGGCCUGCAUCCAUUGUACCUGAUACCUAAGAGGCUCUUGAGCAGGACAUCCAAGUCAUUAAAAAGAAACUUCACUCACCAUGGAGAAGAUCCCAGAGGCUGCCAUUUUCCAUGUAAUCGUUAAAAAGAAGGUUGCCAGAAGGGGACAGAGAGUAUCCUUGAAGGAGUUUGAGACAGAGCUUGAGACUGUCUCCAAGCACUGUGGAUAUUGAGAGUAGAGUCUCUUGAUGGCGACCGGCUUGCAAUUUUUAAGAACGCAUUUGUAUACUGUGCUUGAAGCCCCAUAACCAAUUAUAUACUUCUCACUUAAAUUCUCAGUCAUCCUCAUGAUAUCCUCGUAGACAUGUAGGGCGGGCCAUGUUCAUGUGUAGAAUUACCAGCUUUGGUGGUGAAUAGUAGACAGCUAGUAAGCAACAACAUAGGAGUUAAAUGCAAGAUUACAGGCUCAAUGAUUUCACUUCAGGCAAAAACUAUCGCACAGGAUUUUCAAAAAGAGCUCAUUGUCUCAACCAAGAAUCUCGUUUUGGUGAUAAUGCAUGCUUGUUUAUCAUAAUAAUGACACAAUUCAUGAGGCAAGGCAAACAUAUCAAGGUAAUUCUGCUGAUGGUAGAAGUACAUUCCCUAAAGUAAAACUGAUAAAGUUCACAGGCAUGAGCUUUUAAAGUUCAUUAAAGAAAACAUCCCCAUUCUUUCACACAAUAAGCAAGUAUGUUGCUCGAGAUGCAUGGUACCUGGUUUAUCAAAGGAUCCAUCAACGAAUGGGUUAGAAUUCUGAGGUCGGCAUGCUGCCCCCAGAAUCAUGAGAAGGAUAACAAGUGCACCAAGAGCAAUUCCCAGUAUGGCAGCUUUAGAAAUUGUUACUGCAAAUAUGAAUAGUAAAAAUACACAAAAUCACCUAUGCAACCAGAUAUUAUGUAAACAUGCAUCAGAAAGCUAAAAUGAACAUAUAUCCCUAAAACACCACCUGGGAUGGUUGGUCAUUCUUCAUAUUUAAGGUCUCAGAAAAAUAAAUUUAGGUGAACAGAAGAUGUAAAAAACCAAAAUUUCCUCUUUUUCUUGAAAUCUGAAGCACAUAUUGUUCUUUAUGUUAAGGCACGUAUUUGGCAAAGCAGCUACCACAAACACGCCUUUGAUUCAUGUUUACCUCGUUCAGUCAAGUGAGAAUUGCCACAAGGAGAAUUUAGCCAAUAGCCACAAGGAGAAUUUAGCCAAUAGCCACAGAGUCUAGGAUUCCCAACAAAACUGCACCAUCAAUUAUUGAACAUUUGAAAAAAAAAACUGGCACGCAAGUGCAUAUGAUCAGAAUUACUCAUUCAUGAAGCUUAAUAUCUAGUUUGCUUGCCUGUCUUGUGAAAAGCGGGAGGAAUUGUCAUCCAUGGGUAUUUCCCCAACCAAGUUGUUGUACGAUACAUUUCUACAAAAUCAAAUAAAAUAUAGUGCCAUUAUAAUCUAUGCAGCAUUGGGGACAACAUUGGGACAACAACAAACUUACAGAAUAGUCAGACUAGGGGAGUUCAUCAGUGAAAUCACAUCUCCAGAUAAAUUAUUAUGGUCCAGCCUCCUGUAAAGUUAAGCAUAACAUUAUCCACAUUUCAUGUGUGAAAACAAUACAAUACCCAAACCUAAUAAAGUUAACCAAGAAGUUACAUCACAAGCCAUCCAAGUAUGAGGAGCUCAAUUGUGAUAAUCAGUAAUCACAGCCGACACCGACAUGAAAACACGACAAAAGGUGACAUGAACCACUCAGAGCUACAAUAUCAACUAAGAUUAUAGGUUUUAUACAUAUCCAUGAUGCUUCUCAGAUUGCCAAACUCAGCAGGAAUAAAUCCUGUCAAGUGAUUUCUGCUCAAAUUCCUGCAAAGAGAAAAACACUGAAGUCAGCACAAGAUCAGAUGAUACCUCCCAUCUCCAUGUGACCGUUGUUUUCUAGUUUACGACACUCACAGCUUAAGAUUGUUUGACGAAAUAUUCCUACACAGAGGAGCAAUCAAAAUGGCGGAAAAGGAUUACAUCACCAAAGAAUCCCCAUGGACUCUUCUAGCAAUGAAAGAAGCACCGUGACGUGACAAACCAUGAUCGAAAGGAGUUCUAGUAAUGUUACUUACAGUUUUGCCAUAUCUCUAGCCUCUGCAAAGAAGGGGGAUGGUCCCAUUCAGUUUGUUCCCAUGCAAAUUGUUGCACGAUGACAUUAAGAGUCAAGAUAUCAACUUUCCAUAAGAAGGAAAUUUAAAUUAUGAUAACCUGCUUACAGAGAUGGUCGGGACCCAACCACCACCGGUGGGGUUCUUGGGAGCGAGUGGCUCUUGACGGCAACGGCAGAGGUGGCCAAGCUUGGAGGUGACCGGCAGAGGUGGCCAAGCUCGAAGGGGACCGGCUGGAUUUUGAGCGUACGCGAUCGUCAAAGAGGCCGAGGCAGAAAUGAUCAAAGCUCGGGACCCAACCACGACCGGCGAGGCUCUUCGGAGCGAGUGGCUCCUCGCGACGACGGCGGAGGCGGCCGAACUCGGAGGCGACCAGCGGGCUUUUGGGUGUUCGCGCUCACCGAAGAGGCCGAGGCGAAGAUGGCUAGAGUUCGGGACCCACCCAUGACCGGAACGGUUCUUGGAGCGAGUGGCUCCCGAAGGCAACGGUAAAGGCAGCCAAGCUUGGAGGCGACUGGCAAAGGUGACCGAGCUCGGAGGUGACUAGUUGGCUUUUGGUGUAUGCGAUCGCCGAAGAGGCCGCGAAAACGGUCAGAGCUCGGGAUCCAACCACGAACGGCGAGGCUCUUCGGAGUGAGUGUCUCCUGGAGGCGAUGGCGGAGGCGGCCGAGUUCGGAGGCAACCGGUGGGCUUUUGGGUGUCCGCACUCGCCGAAGAGGCCGAGGCGGAGAUGGCCAGAGUUCGGGACCCAGUCACGAUUGGCAGGGUUCUUGGGAGCGAGUGGCUCUUGACGGCGACGGGAGAGGCAGCCAAGUUUGAAGCUCACCGGCGAGCGUUUGGUCGAGAGAGAUGGCGUUGCAGCUUUCGUGGAGAAAAAUGUAGAGACAAAAAAUUUCGAAAGAGAAUGGGAGGGGAAGGGACGCACGCUUGCGUGCAAAUGGGAGAAUGGUGCAGAGUUGCAGGGCCCGGCUCCACGUGUCGACAUGUGUCGAAUCCUGAUUGGGCGGGCACACGGCGACUUGGAGGCCCACCCAAUAUUUUCUAGAGAGACACGAGAAGACGGGGGAAUUUUAUAUAUAGAAAUUCAGACACGUGGGAAGGAGGGAUCCCACACAGCGACCGGUCGACUGUUCAAUCAGGCCGACACGUGCGAGAGGACUCGGGUAAUGUCAUGGCAUCCGUCAGCUGAUCUGUCUGGACUCGGCGAAUGGGUUGAGGGGAGGGGCAGUAGCGGUAAUUUAAAUGGUCUCUUGUGACUCCUUGAAAGUUUCUCUCCCCGCCCUUUUGGCCCUUCGUGGAGUCAAAACCCUUUUGGCAAAAGAUAUCGUGCCAUGUUACCCCCCGCAAUGAAAUCCAAGACAGAUAUGUUAUCCAAUAAGGGUAAUUCUAGCGUGACGGUCUCACCGUCUCACGGUCAAAGAAUUACCGUAUUGGAUGGAGAAAUAUCUGAUAAUAAGUUCUAAUUUUGACAUUUCAAGUUAUUGUGUUUUAAUUUAUAAACCAAAUCAAUUUACAUUUUAAACCUCUCAAGAUUUAAAAAUUCUCUUAUUCACGAGUCCAUGAACGACAAGUGCGGAAUGUGUCAAGGAAAUUAACUCAUCUUGUUGGACAUAUUGUAUUCUCAUAUCAUGUUGAUACUAGUAUACCUGGUCGCAAAAUUUGAAAUGAAAUUACAUUUACGUAGCAGAGUAUGAGAAUGUUUCUGUUUCUCAUUAUUUUUGUUCUUUUGUUCCCCGAAACAAAACAAAAAAAGAACAGAAAGCUAUUUGGUAAUGCUAAGUUGUUUUUUAUUCCCCCGAAUAGAAAGUUAGCAUGGGAAUAGAUUUGGAAUAGAAAUGAUAAGCAAAAAAAAGUUCCUUCUUGUUCCCAGGAACAAUUUUUAAAAAUAAGCUAAUUUUCUUUUUCUUUUUUCUUUUUUUUUUCUUUCUUGCCGCGGCUACCGUCAAUCACCCAGAGCCACCGCCCACCGCCGGCCACUACCGCCACCGUUGCCGGUCGCCUGCCACCGUCGCCGCCGCCACUGUCACCAUCACCGCCGCCGUUCGUUGGUCCCCAGCAGCUGCCGGUCGCUAGCCACCACCAUUGCCGCCAAACGCCGUCACCACCAUCGAAUGCUGCCGUCGCCCGCCGUCGCCGCAAGUCCAUCGGUCGCCGACGACCACCGGAGGCCGAUGGGCUUGCAGCGAUGGUCGGCGGUGACGGUCAGCGGCCGGCGAUCGUGCAGCGGCGGCGACGAUUCAUGAGUAAGAAUAAAAAAAGAAUAAAUACAAAAAAGAAAUUGUUGCGUUACCAAACGUAUUUAUAUUCUUUUUUUAUUCCAAAAGUAGAAAUUUUGUAUAGUUACCAAACGGGUUCUUUUACUCAUAAAUUGUUCUCCGGAACAAAAAUAGAAAAGAACUAUUUCUGAAGAAGAAAAAAAAAAUUCUUCCCCGGAACAAAAGCGUUGUCAUGCGCAGCCUUACUAUCAUGGAUCGAUUGUUGUGAUGAUUAAAAUAUAUUAGUUUUUAGCCAAUGAUCUCGUUCAAAUUGGCCAUAUGAGCAUAGGUUAAAAGAUCAUCGAAACACAAAUGGCUCUAUGACCUACCCACUAGACAGCAAAGAAGUCGAAAGAUGUGGAUAUUCUAGUUUUCUCCGGCGAAUUUAAUGGGGAUGGUUUGAUAACUUUCGGCGGCUUUACUACGAAGGUCAAACGACGCUGGAAGGUGGUGAGACUCGGACUAUAAUUGACCACGGUUGCACAUGAAAAUAUCUAAUAUAUUAAGGAUUUUUGGUGAUGACCAAAAAAAAAAAAAAGAGCAUUUUUGGGGUUAUACAAGUAUCAAAUCACUCGUUCUAAAAAACCAAUCAAAUCUCAAAAGUCAACAAGGACGGGUCAUAGUAGUUGUUGAAGUUGUCGAGCCCCACGAUGCCGUCGCCGCGCUUCUUGAGGGCGAGGGAGACGUGGGUGCCCACGAAUCCGGCGUUGCCGGUCACGAGGACGUAGAGCCCGUCGGGGCGGUGCACCUGGGCGGAGUCGCGGACGCGCUUCUCCCACUGGAUGCCGCCCCACGAGGCGGUGAAGUAGCAGUUGCCGGAGUCGAUGAAGCUCUGGAAGCUCAGGUACGAGGCGGUGAGGGCGACGAGGAAGAGGGCCCACAGGAAGAGGGUGCUGGUGGAGGCGAAGCAGUGGUGGAACUGGCAGUCACCGGAUUGCCCAUAAGUGGGGACUGUGUUUUUUUAUUUAACGAUCGGCGAGCGGCUGUGCGCGUUGGCGAUACCUUUCCUCGGCUUACUCGAGGCCGUGUUCGUGAACAUCUCGCUCUGCUUCGACUCCGACCGUCCUCAGAGGCACUCCUACAGCCUCGACGAACUCUCCCGCAUCGCAAAGAACACGCCAUGUCUCUCUCUCUCUCUCUCUCUCUCUCCAUCCGUUCCUGUACUGUCGUUGUAUGACGGAUUAGCCGGAAUGAUUUACGUGUCGUCGUCGCCGUCAUACCUUCAACAAUAAAGGUAUGUGUUUAUAUUUGACCUAAUAUCCUAAAAAACCUCCAACCUUGAUUUUUAUCCUAACUUUACAUUUUCUCUUAUAAUUGGGACUAGAAUUAGAGUUGGGGUUUUUUUAUGAAAAAAAGAAAAGAAAAGAAAAGAGGGGCCGCUACUUUAUAUUGCUUUUGCCUUAUAAAUAAGAGGGGCCGGCCCAACAGGCUCUGAAGGAGCAGCGGCUAGCAAAAAGAUAAGCCUCAGCCUCACCCUGUCUAUCUUAUCUCUUAUUCUAUUGGAUCCUGCAAGCUGCGGCAGAGCAAUGCUGCAUUCAGUUCCGGCGCAUAAAUCUGUGAUUUCAGGGUUCGGUCGGUCGAAUGGGCAAAUCUCCCUUCUUGAAUCAUGGUCCACCAAAUCUCAGACCCGUUUCCUAAUCAGGUGCUCCAUUACUUCCUCCGGUUGGAGCGGGAGGGGUGGAUUCAAGAGGCGCGUGGUCGUCCAAGGAACCCAUCCAAAUUCGGACCAGGAAGAGGAAGACCAAGAAGAGUUUCGAGUAAUGACAGCAACGAGGAGCCAGUACAACGACAUUGUCAUAGUGGACACUGGAAGAUCCCGGUUCCUGUUGUUGGACUCCACCCACAACGUUCACAGCAUGGUGAACAAAGGAGAGGACAAAUGGAGUGGUUCCUACUGGGACGAGUUUGCAAGCCUGCCAGCCAUAGUCCCCGAAGGCCCCAUCGCCAUCUUUGGAUUAGGGGGCGGGACUGCUGCUCAUCUGAUGCUGCAUCUGUGGCCUUGGUUGCAGAUUGAAGGGUGGGAGAUUGACGAGGUUCUGAUUGACAAGGUCAGAGAGUAUAUGGGGCUCUCUGAUUUGGAAAAGCCUAAUCGAGCAGGUGGGAUGCUCAUCGUUCACAUUGGCGAUGUCCUUUCUCCUGUGGUAAAGGAUGAUGGAGGAUAUUACUCAGGGAUAGCAGUCGACUUGUUCACGGGAGGCAGGGUGUUGCCGCAGUUGCAGGAGGUCGAGACUUGGGUGGAGUUCAAGGAGAGGUUGAUGCCCAGUGGCCGCAUCAUGGUGAACUGUGGGGGAAUUGAUGACACCGAUCCCACAGGAAUCACUAGAAAGUGGGAGCUGAAUUCCACAAUCAAGGCAAUGUUGAGUGCAUUCCCAGGAGAGUUGAGCUGGAGAAGAACUGCACAGGCAGAAGGCGAAAACUAUCUAGCCCUCACCGGACCUUCGCCUGAUCUUGAUUUGUGGUCUUCCAGAGUCCCCGGUCGUUUGAGCAAGAAUGUCAGAGAAUGGAGGCCUUGCAUUUGACUUAUCUUGCCCGAACAAAAUUGACCUGUAAAUAGCCCUCAUUUCAUGAUAUGUUUGAGACGUGCAGGAACCGUGUUCUAUCCAUAUUACUAAAGAGAUCAUUUGCAUCUGCAUCUCCUCUCUUCAUUCAACUUCAUCUUUGUUCGAAUGUACCAUCCAUCAGCCAGGUAAUGGUACUGGAUGCCUCCUCCACUUCUCAUGCUAGAUUCUACAGGGGUAUGAUUAGACUUCACAGCGGUCCACAGCAAUGUUUCGUUCUGAAUGGUCUUCCCGCAAACUUAUCCCCACUAUCUGCGGAUGUGUAUUCCAAUUUUUGACAGCAAAUCAUUUAGUUCUGCUAUAUAAGCAAUGCUUAUCAAACCUAUACGAGUCAAGACUUUGUCCUUACAAUAUCCACAAAAGGAAAUGAGAGGGGACCUUCUGGACGUGAUUCCAAAAGGGAACCGACUUGAUGACGAACGCCUUGAACGUGAGAAUCAAUGGGUGAGUACGUGAAAGUUUUAUAGAACCCAUCACGCAUUAACGAAUGGAAACUCGGGAUAAUUUCAGGAAUCAUGUUUGAGACCUCUUAUUUUAAUACCCAUUAGACUACACUUUGUUCUCAACAUGAGAUUUUUUGCACCGUAGUUAUGUCAGGGUUCGCACCUGCACUGUGUGCAUAAUCCACUUAUUCGGAUCUACAGGUGAUUAGUUGGGGCUAUGGAAGUACCCUCUGAAGUCCUUCGGAUCUAACGCCACUACUCGCUAAGCAUUAAUUCAAUGGAGAUUUUGCCAAAAAGGUCUUAAGAAAAUCAAGCAAUUAAACGAAGAAAAGAGGAAGAGAAUUUGGAAGCAACAUGUGUAUCCCAGUCAAUCAAACAAUCAUCAAGAGCCUGCCUUUCACCUUAAGAAUAAUUUUAACCCACUUUUCAAAAGUCUAAAAAAAGCACAGCGUUCUACCCCGCACGAUAAUUUUGGCAUCUGUCAAACUCCGUCGAGAAUCACUGUUUUUCAAAUCUUAAUGGCUUAAAUCGUGGAAAUUUGGUACUAGCAUCAAUUUCGCUUUGUUGCACGUUCGAUAAGAAAACACUUUAGAUGAAUAAUUAAACGUUGUUGGAUUUUGGGUUUUAUUUCCAGUUAAAAACAAGCUCUAUCUCCUCCCUCCCCACCUCAAUUUCAGCUGAACCAUCACCGGCAUGACACUGACCAACAUCGCUUCCGGACACGUUCACUUGCCAUCGUCGCUAGCUGGGACAGCAUUCGCCAUGCCCAGUCGCAACAAUAAGGCCGUUGAUGGAGCCACCAACGAUCGCUGUCAUGGCCAUAUCACCACAACCACUCACAUCUUUCUCCCGCAUAUCUGUCUAUAGAAGAAAUUUUGUGCCUUAAUUCAUGUUCUAUAAGAAAAUUGUCCGAAAUAUCUAAUGUUUCUUGUACUUUGACCAAUUUACUUUUAAAUAUUUUAAAAUUUUUCUAUUGAGUCGUAAAUACUUUCACAUUUUGGUAAUUGAGUUCAUUCAGACAAUUUUAGAUGGGAAUUGCUAAUAUAGAUGCCGAUCAUUCUACGUGACACAACCUAUUGAGGUCAAAAAUAUGUAAUGACUCCUAUUAUACUUUCUUGUGAUAGUUGCUCAGUCCCAGGUUGUGGUGUUUCCUAACUACUUAUUGAUUUAAGGUUUUGUUCAUCCUACCGACAUUUCGUGUGAUGGACGUUGAGAAACAAGGUGCAAUUCGCACCAAUACUGAACUUUGACAUAACGAACAUGGUCCCCUCCUGUGGUUAAGGAUGAUCACACUAAAUUAAAUACAUCAUAUGAAACAAUGGUACCAAUUAAGAAGAGUUUUACAUUUCAACACGAAUGUAAGAUAUGGGUCCAACCCAACAGGCCUUAUCCAAUUGUAUUCCCCAUGAAUUUUAAUUCACCAAGGUCACCAUGAGAAGAUUUUUUAAUUUAUAAGAUCAAAAGUAUAGGGAAUUUGUAAUAGAUAAUUUGUUGUAUGGGCAAUGUUAAGGAAGACAAUGCUUUUUAUUUUGGAUGGAAUUUCUCAAGGAUUACGACUGUGAUAUUCUUGACCACCCUAGGAAAACCAACAAGGUGGCUGAUGCUCUUAGUCGGAAAUCAACUAUCGCACAAGUGAUGGUCUAAGAAUGCAGUCUUCUUGAAGGAAUUCAAGCUUUGGAAUACAAAUUUGACGUAAAUCAGCUUUCUAAUCUUUUGGCUACCCUUAUAAUUGAAUUGGAAGUGUAGUCAAAGAUUAAAGCAUUACAACAAGAUGACCAUGAACUUCAAAAAAUUCGAGGAGUUUCAAAAAAGAAAAAGCUAGAUUUUUAAGUGACUAAAGAUGGAGUAUUGAAAUUCCAUAGACGAUUGUGCAUACUCAACAAUGCAAAACUAAAGAAAGAAAUCCUAUCAAAUGCUCACCGAAGUAACUAUAACAUACAUCUAGGUAGCAUAGAGAUGUGCUGGAAUCUCAGAUAAUAAUAUUGGUGGAAUGGCAUGAAGGUUGAUAGCGCCAAAUAUGUCGCCAAAUGUUUAACUUGUCAACAAGUAAAGACAAAGCAUUGCAAGCCUAGUGGAUUACUUCAACCUCUAGAAAUCCCAUAAUGGAAAUGGGAAGACAUCACAAUGGGCUUCGUCAUGGGACUUUCAAGGUGCCAAAGAGGCCAUGAUUCUAUUUGGGUAAUAGUCGACAGGCUAACUAAGUCAACUCAUUUCUUGGUAGUACAAAAGGAUUUCUUAUUGGAAGAAUACACAAGGCUUUAUGUCUAAUAGAUAAUUUGAUUUCACGGAGUGCUAGUGACAAUUAUUUUGGAUAGAGACCCCAAGUUUACUGUCACAUUUUGGAAAAGUCUUCAGAUGGCUAUGGGAGUGAAACUUCAAGAUAACAUAGCUUAUUAUCCACAGACAGAUGGCCAAUCUAACAAGACAAUCCAAAUGCUCAAAGACAUGCUACGAGUGUGUGUGCUUGAUUUUAAAGGAGGUUGGGAAGAAUAGCUACAUCUCAUUGAAUUAGCCUACAACAAUAGCUACCAGUAGAGAAAUGGGAUGACACCACUCGAAGAGUUAUACGGGCAAGCUUGCAGAACUCUAGUUUGUUGGGAUGAGGUCGAGGAAAGAAGGAUCCUGGCUUAGAGUUAGUCUAGAUGUCAGCAGAUGCAAUGAAAGUGAUUAGAGAGAUACUUAGAAUUGCCCAAAGCCACUAGAAAAACUAUGCAGAUAGACAAUGCAGUCCUUUAGAAUUUCAAGUUGCUGAUCGCUUCUUUCUUAAAGUGUCACCUAUGAGAUGCAUGUUGCAUUUCGACAAGAAAGGAAAGCUAAGUUUGAAGUACAUAGGACCUUUCAAGAUCUUAGAAGAAUAAGGAAUUUAGUUUACAGGUUAGCACUUCCGCCCAGACUUGCUCAGGUGCAUGACAUGUUCCAUGUAUCUAUGUUAGAAAAGUAUGAGCCAGAUCCGACACAAGUGCUAAACUCUAAAGAGAUAGAAAUGAACGACAUAGUGUUGUAUGUUGAAAAGCUUAUGUGGAUUGCAGAUAGAAAAUAGCAAGAGCUGUAGAAUAAAACCAUUCCUUAGUUAAGGUUAUUCGGAACAGCAUGGGAAAGUUAGGAAUCGAUGAGGCUUUGAUAUCGGCAUCUAUUUAAGGAAUCAGGUAUGUCUUUGAAUUUCAUGGACGAAAUUUCUUUUAGAGGGAAAGAGUUGUGACAUCAUCAACUCGAACCCCUAACUAGACCACGAGGAAAGGACUAAGGAUUGGUACAUCAGUAACGAGUAUAAGUUGUGACUUAAUGCUAGUAAUUGUUCACGAGCCGACUAGAUGAUUAAGGGCAAGGCAACUCAAGAACAAGGUUGCGAUAGAUCGUAGUGAUUGAUUGUGAAAGGACCAUUCCACCAUAAGGAUUGUUAUGGACAAUCACGUGCCAUCAUGAGUUAGUUAAUGGAUGGGUAUAGAUCGAUUCGACUCAAGUAUAUACCGGUCGCGGGUGACAGCACGAUCAAUGUACUGUUUGUGAAUGACCUUAAUCUAAUCUCGAACGACCAUGAGUCAGGGCAAGUUGAUUGAUCCUACUUGAUUAUAUGGCAACUAAAGAUUAUUCAUGGAUGGACCAAUCUCAAAAGAAAGUCAUAUGUAAAACCUUGAAUAGGCAUCGAACUCAGUUCAAGUUUGACCGCGCGAGUUUUGCCAAUGCCGCCCAUAUUCACGUAGGUCACAUUAAUGUUAUUCUCCAUUGAAACUUAGCCAUGAACCUCAGUCCAAUUGUGAGUGUCGAUUGUAGAUGCUAUCAAGACAUUCCUGUUCAAUUGAAAUAAUUUUAGUGAAUCGGUGAGUAGAUUAAUCGGAGAAAUGCACUAAUUUGAAGACAUAGACUUUAGUGGACCUAGAGGUCAAACCAAUUUAGCCUAUUAAGAUUUAAAUUGAGAUGAGACAAAUUUUGGGAGACCAUUCAAAGGGUGUCGGUGCCACUUCGGUGUAGACAAGGGUGAAUGGACCAUUUUACCCUUAUUGAACCUAGCCAAUAAUUGAGAAGUCAAGUAGAAAUCUUGGCCCUUGAACUUGGAUGACGAUCUUGGCAAAGAUGGAGGAUUACAUCUUGUCCUCCAAGUUUGAAGCCAUCAUGAAGAGAGAGCAAUAUUGCAUGGUGUAUUUAAUGUGAUUGACUCAUCUCUCUCUCUCUCUCUCUCUCUCUCUCUCUCUCUCUCUCUAACUCCCCUUUCAGCCGAGACCCUCCUCUCCUCUCCUCUCCUCUCCUCUCUCUCUUUUUCCCUUUCUUUUUCCUCCCUUUCUCUCGCUUGUUCGCUGCCCAUUGCCCGCCUAGUUGAUGCUCGUUGCUCAUCCGCCACUACAUGCUUGUCUGCUCAUCCGUCAAGUUGUUGAUGUCGCCGUCCUCAUACCGCUGCUAUGUUGCCGUCCUCCAGCCCCCAUCGAUCGCCUCUCAUCUCAUCACGGUUGUCAUAGGUAGAUUUGUUAAAUGUUGGCUAGGCUAUUGCAUUACGUAAGUCGGAUUUAGAUCUGUUUGUAGAGUUGUUAAAGCCAUCCUAAGUUGAACAAACUUAUGUGACUAAUUUUGUAUGGUUUGCUCAUGAUUUACUUGGACUAUAAGACUCGAGAAUGAGUGAGGAGUGAGCAUGAUUCAUGGACAUAAUUUGUUUAAGCUUAGAUUAUUGCUUGGGCUAAGAGAUUUACUGUGAUUAUUGCUUGUGGACCAUUUAUUAUUGUUACUUAGGUUUAAUCCUCAUGUUUGAUUGCCUUGGUUGGUUGUAUAUGGUUAUGCGAUGUGGUUUAUUGUAUGUUAUGACUAUCGUGAUUGAGUUGUCCAUCUACAUUGUUAGGAGAUUUGAUAUUUAAGCAUUAUGGUUGCAAUAUGGAUGUGGUCUUUGCAUGUAGAAGUCCAUAAGUCAUAGUCAAUCCUUGAGUUGAAAUCGAACCUCUGAAUCUAGUACAAUGUUGGUUCUUGGGUCACUCUUUUAGUUUGGCAAUAUUGAAGCGUAUCGUUCUGUCACGACCCCAACUCCAUCUCUAGGGUCAUGAGCAACAAGAGUUAUUUUCGCGACGUCCUAGACUCGUCGCCAUCUAGAUUCUUUUUAUCUUGUUAUGAUGCACAUGUGAAAACGUGAACAAAUAACUCCCUGGACAAACAACAACUGGAAGACUGGGACAUACAUCAUAGAGAACAUAUUGAUUUAUGUUAUAACAGUACUUUUAUAAGCCCUUUCUCUACGAGCCCUCUUUUCUUUUUACAUCACAAUACAAAUUUUCCACAUAGGCCAAGGAAAAUCUUAUCUCCUCUAGCGUGAUUGCCGCUCCCAAAACUAACGUAAGACUUCCAUGCCUACAAGACCGAAAGAUGAGGGGUGAGUUUUGGGGAAACUCGGUAAGUAAAAUUCCUAGUUCUCUACUAGUAAAGCAUCUCAUCAUCAUAAUCUAACAAGUACAGAACUCGCAAACAAUAUCGAUGGCAAAUCAAUCGCAAGUCUAUUGCCACCUCUCGACUAUCUAUAUGUGAUCCAAUUUUAACUAACCAAAUAAGUCAUUUCACCAAACAAGUUUAUCAACGGCACAUAGUAACAUGUUCAAUAUGUUAAUUGACUGUAUAAACAGUUCUUCCCAUACUUUUAGGAGCUUCCAGCUGUAGAUUGGGCAUCCGGCCUUAGGCUAGGCAUCCCAUACUCUCAGGGGCUUCUUGGCUCAACUAGGGCAUCCAACUAUCAAGCUAGGUAUCCUAUACUUUCAGAGGCUUCCUGGCUCAACCAAGGCAUCCGGCCAUCAAGCCAAGCUUCCUAUACUUUCAAGGGUUUCCUAGCUCAACCAAGGCAUCCCAUUCAAUGAACGAGGUAUCGCCGCCAAUGCUAUGAGACGACAGAUUCUUUUUCCUCUUUAAGUGCACACACAUAAGUGCAUUACACAAGUCGGUUCUUAUCUUUUCUCUUAGCCAAUACAUGUAUGGCCCGAAAGCGUGCCCAUUCGUUUAUGUGCCAUGAGUUCUUGCACUACACUAUUUAUGUCAAUUCAAGGCCUUAUGAUUUUGACGACCUUGCCUUGUGAUGAACUCAAUCCGAGCGAACCUCGGCUUCAUUCCCGAACGUACAUGACACAAGCAUACGACCAAACACAAUUGUAAGUAAAACCAAACAAAAGACAUCACACACCACCCAUGGCUUGAUGGAUGAGCACUUAGCUAGCCUCAACAAUGAAAUCUACCUUCCAAGGAGAGAAAAAGGAACCUUACUUACCUUGGCAAAAUUGAGAACUAACCUAGAUAGCUUGGUGGGUUGAGGAUGCAAGGCCGAGAGAAAUGGCAUGCAAGAAAGGAGCAGGAGGAGAAGUGAACUAAAGAUCGGAGAGAGUGGAUGAGGGUGGUUCUCCUAUUUAUAGGCCAAGCUUCAUUAAUGACCCUAACUUAUUCUUUAAAGAAGAUCCUAUCGUCAUGAUUACCAAAUCUUCUCCUUGCCACCUAAGUUAGCGAGUCAUACCUUCAUUUAAGGACUAGCCUCCAAGGAACACAUGGUACUUAUUCUCCAAGUCACUCCUAGUUGGUCCACUUAAGCUUGUGAGUCACCAUUUCAUCAUUACUUGGCCUAACUUAAUCUCCAAGGAAAAUCUUAUGCAAUAAUGAUCAAAUCCUCAAAUGACCACCUAAGCUAGUGAUUCAUCCCUUCAUUUAAUACUUAAGAUAUGGCCAUCACAAGUCUUGGAUUUUUGGCACAUUUUUCAUUGUUUUUUUUUUUUUUGCUCAUUAAGCCAAGCAUUCUAGAACCUUCCAUGGUAUGGCUCACUUAAGCCAAUUUGCUAUCUAAGUUUCUUCUCUUUAACACACUAAGGUCCAAAAGUAUUUAAUGCAUUCUUAUCUUCAAACCAAGAAAUCUCUAGAUUAGCUUGCUCCUCAAGUUAGGCGUGCAGCCCUUUCCCUUCCAAGUUGGGCAUGUGACCAUCUUAUCCCGGGGUGAAAGACAGUUUUGAGCAAUUUCCAAAAUCGGCACCGUUACCUUAUCAAACGGGCUCGAAAAAUUAUAAAAUCUUGAUAUGUUAUAGAGAAGACCUCAAAAACCAUUUUUCGUUAGGGAACUUAGCCAAAUUUGUGCUGCGCCAAGAGCAGUAAUUCAAUAAACACAACCCAAAAAUUCGUCCCAUUGGUUUUAUAUCAAAUCAAAUCAACCACGGGUCGAAUUCACGAAACUCCGAAAGGCUUCCCGUUGGUUUUAUAGAGGAUUAAGAGACAACCAUUGGACAUUAUUUAAUCAAAUUCCUUAUUUAUCAGUAAACCCUAAAUUUUGGAUAAGUGAAAUUGGGCUAGAAAUUAGAAGCCAAAAUGGGGCCCACGAAUUUGGAAGGCCAAGGCCCAAUGGGCCACAUUCCCUUUAAAUUUCAUCCACAAGGGCCCAAAUAGAUGGAAAUUAUAGUUUUGCCCUUUAAGGCCCAUUAAGCUUGUUUAGGCCUAAAUUGGAUUAAUUAAGCCCAAGCCCAAGUUUGUCAAGCCCAAGGACAAGCCGUUUAAGACAAAUGGGCCAUUUUGGACUUGGUCCAUGUGCGUGAAUAGUAACCUACAUGAGUAGUGCCCGUGAAUAGUAACCUAGCAUCUAGAAGGCUUUGACUUUUGUGGCAAGAAGGAGGGAUAGGAUUUAUUCUUGCUCCCCAAGUUGGAAUGGAGGGCCAAGAUGUGUUCUUGCUCCCCAAGUUAGGACAAUAUGUCAAGGAGCAUUAAAUGUCCAACUACUUCCCCAAGUUUUCCUCUUUUGCCAUCAUUUCUCACUUUCUCUCUCUACCCCUUAUUUGGAUGAAUUUCCUCCAUCACUCUCCCUCAUCUCAUACCCAUUUCUCUAUUUUUUUUUCCCUUUGGUUGUGGUGGCCGUGAGCCACCAUCCACUGUUCAACUCGCCGAGCUACCCUUGCCGCGAGAUCUCGUCGUGCCGUCAUUCCCGCGUGUUGGCCGCGAGUCCCAAGCCAUUGCCAGACCUCUCUCAAGUCGUGUGCUACUGUUCCUUAGCUGUUCUAGCCUUAUCGUGGGCUACUGACCGCCAAUCUACCACCGCCACACCUUGUGGAGCCUUACCGAGAGCCAGCACCAUGCCAUGAGCCUUGCCGCCACUUGCCAUGGCCUAGUUUGGGAAGUGAGUAGUUUCCUAACCCUUGAUUAGAGUAGUAAUUGUGCUAAGGAGUAGAGUUAGGAUUGGUUAAUGGUUAAUGUUGAUUAGAUUAGGUGAUAAGUAGUGGAGAUAAGCUAUCACAAUAGGUGAUAAUUGGAUCCGUUAGGUUAUCGCGAUAAGUGAUGGUUAUAUGUGAUAAGCUAUCACAAUAGGCUAUCGUUAGAUGUGAUAAUUUAUUGUAAUAGGCUAUCGUUAGAAGUGAUAAGUUAUCGUAAUGGGUUAUUGUUAGAUGUGAUAACCUAUGGUGGGUGGCACGAAAGCUGAUUCUCACGAGAAGGCAACGGACAACUCAAGUUUUUGGAGAAAGGUCAGUUGGAGCAGAAACAGGAUGGAAGGAAAACAGGGGAGAGAGAGGUCGGUCGAGAGAGGGCCGAAGGAGGGGAGAGAGAGAGUGAUGGGAGAGCUGUUGCACUCCUCAUUAAGGCCCAUAAAGCAUGCCCCAAGUCCCCAUGCAAGAUGACCUCAUCUUCUAUCUCUUCUCUUGCCUUAUCCACAUGCUUUUAAGGGCAAAAUGGUCAUUUACACCUUGCACAAAUUCCCAAUCUACCCUUGGGCCAAAAAUUAUGGGCGGGCCUAAGAAAUGGGCUUAGAAAUAAAUAGGAAUGGGCUUAGGAAUUGAUUGGGCUCAAAUGGACUAAAGAUUGGACAAUGGGCUUGGAAGAUAAAAAGGUGGGUUGGCCCUAAUGGGCUCACUUGCUUGCCUUGGGCCUACUAUGGUGGCUGUCCCACCUUGGGCCUAAGGCCCACACAGGCUUUGCUCAACCCACGUCCUCUCAGGCUCAAUUCAUCGGAUCGUAAGUCCUUUUUCCCCACACUCGGCUUGCCUGGCACUGCUGACUAACGAAGUAGCUUCAUCCAAAGUCCGUCCCAGACGUUCCCAAUAAUUCGAAGUCCAAUCUUGAGUUCUCAUACCAUGUCAAUUUCGCCAUAAUGCCAUUUUGGGUACAACUUAGACUGAUAGGCGGCUUUGAAGAUUCACGUAUAACUGACUCGUGCUAAACCACGUUCAAGACAUCUCAACACAUGGACGUCCUUAAGUGCCUGAAGCGGAGGAUAGAUUCUUAUUUCAAAGUACAUGAUUACCGAGGAUCAACCUAGGGUCGUUCAUGGGCUCGAUAACAGUAAACAGAAUCACCCAUCAUUCCAUUACAUUCUAUCCAUGAAUCGACUUUUAGUCAUCCUUCAAAUCGGCCUGCCUAACUACAUGAUUGUUCUCAUGCAAGUCUCACGAUCAAGUAGUUUUCCCAAGUCAAGUUCUUUAGUUGUACGAGUUUUGUCCUCAUUAGCAUUUCCCCUCAAGGUCAAUAUCUCAGGAGUGAUCUAUUCCGAGUGAGAUCAACCAACAAUAUAUUGACGAAAUUCACAUUCAUUCAUCCCUCAGAGAGCUUGAAUUUGAGCAUGUCACAAUAAAGAUUGGGAAAAUGUCAUUAUUCUUUCAAAAUUUUUGAAAUAGUUUUAUGAUGCCACCACUCAAAUGUCAAAGAGUUUAUAUAUUACUUCGAAUGAUUAUUUUGAGGGGAUAGGUUUUUUGUAUAAAUAUUUGAAAGAUGUGAGUAAUGCUAUGGAUCCUAAGCUUAGAAUUAUGAAUAUGAAGAUAAAGGAGAAGUUUGAUAAAUAUUAUGAGAGUUUGGAUAAAGUAAAUAUGAUGGUUUUUAUUGUAGUGGUGUUAGAUCCUACAAAAAAGUUGUAGUAUGUGAAGUAUUGUUAUGAGCAAAUUUAUGAUGAUGGAGUUGAUGAGAUGCACGAUAAGGUGAAAUACAUGUUGGAGCGUUUGUAUACAUUUUAUGAGCAAUAUUUUCUUGAUCAUGAUAACUAAUAUUUGGGUGGUCAAACUAUGACUAUUGGAAGUAGCAUUGCUUCCAAUACCGCCAGAAAUGAUGGAAACGACGAGAUUAACAUCAAAGCUUGGCGAAAAAAACUUUUUCCAUAAAAAGAAAAGAGGUCGUGAUAACAACAAAUCAAAUCUUGAACAGUAUCUUGAAGAGGAUUAUGAAGAUAUUCUUGAUUUUGACAUUUUGAUGUAGUGGAAAAGUAUUGGUUCGAAGUAUAAAAUUCUAUCAUUGAUAGCUCGGAAUGUUUUAUCUAUUCCUAUAACUACUGUUACUUCAAAGUCAACUUUUAGUACUUUGGGCUGCGUUCUUGAUGGUUUUAGAAGUUCUUUGACUCCUAGAGUGGUAGAAGCUUUAAUUUGUACUUAAGACUGAUUGAGAACUGCUCCCAUGCCUAUUUAUGUUGAAAAGUGCCUUGAGAAUGUCAAAAAGUUUGAAUUAGGUGAGCUUAAAUCAUGCAUAUUUCUUUUUACUUAUUAAUUCUUUUGUAUAUCUAAUGAAUGAAUUCUUGUUUUUUUUUAGAUACGGAUUGUCUUACUGAGGAGAUUACAAUCAGUAAAUAGAGUUUGCAUGUUGAAGUUGAAUGACCGUAAAUGGUGAGAUGUUCCAUCAAUGACACUAAUAGUAAUUUCAAUUUAAAAAUUUUGUUAAGUAUUAAUUAUGUGUGUUGUUUGUUUUGUUUUUAGGUGUUCAGAAGCUAAAGCGAUCAUCUAAGAGUUAACAAGAAGUGAAGUUGUAUAUUCAUGGCUUAUCUUAAGUAUUUUGAACUUAUUGUGGUUUAAUUAUAUUUCACUAGUAAUUUUCAGUUGUACUUUGCUUUUUAGUUUGUGUAAAAUGGAAGAAGUUUUUGAAGAGUAAUAUUGCAGUUGCUAUAAUGAUUUGCUUGUCAAGUGGUAUGAAGCUUCGUUAUUGGUUGAUUAGACUUUGCUUGAUUAAAUGCAAGUGCUGAUUUUGUAGAUAAUGUUACAAGUAUUAAUGAUAGAUGAUUAUAGGAACAGAUGCCUGGAAAACAGUUUUUGGCCUAGAAUUCUUUUCUCUUAAACUUCUUAUCUCAUCCCAUUUCUCCGAACGGAAGAAUGAUUCAAAGACAAAUCAAAAGUUAGAAAAGUAUAACAUGGUUUAGCGAUGGAAACACUUUAUCUCUAUUAGCAAUCCUGAUCGUUUUUAUAGUUUCUUGUUUUUAGUAAGUGUGAAAUUUUUAUAGUUACCUUAUCUUAAAUUUAUGUUGAAUAUGUACUUAUGUUUAUAGUUUGGUUGUUCAACGCCAUAUUAUUGAUUGAUAUGUAAUUUAAAUUAAUAGGUUUGUCCAUUUAGAGAAUACAAAAAAUGAAACAAAAAUAUUAUCAGUUAGUCUCGAGUUAACCUUACAAUUGGAUCGAAUCCAUAUGAUCAGUCCGAUUCUCGAUCUCGGACUCAAUUAGGUUGGUCUUCAGUUUCAAAAAUUAGAGACUAACAUUGUGCGGAUUGGCUUUGAAUUAGACGCUGAACCAGCAUUAAAGGAACACUUUCCUUUAACAUGGACACGCGGAAGACACCGGGGCGCUAGACAGCUUCAGCGGUAAUGCGAGUCUUUAAUAAUCGGCACCUAGCCUGAAAAUUCGGUGGACGAGAGUCGGAAUGUCCUAGAAUGUCCAGCAUUAAAUGAAGAAGGCCUUUUGUUUAUUAAUUGACUCGACUUGUUCUCCAUCUACGUGGCUUUCUCCCCUCCCCUUCUUUUGUAUUUGUUAAUAAUUGAAGAGAGAGGAUGGCCCUGUGCAAGAACGGCUAUAGUUUUCUUCCCCUCAUUCAUGCAUGCAAAUGCAUGUGCAUAGAGGCAGAUAAAUUUCGUGGACGUGGAUGCUGAUUGUGGGCACCUGUGCUGCCAUUUAAUGAGUUCGUAUUUCUGUCUUGUUUCUCCUAUAAAAGGAGGACCGCAAAAGAGGUCCGAGGUAGAGCAAGAAGAGAGAAGACUCGUGAGCCUUCCCGGAGACAAGGUAGAAGCUCUCGAUAGAGGGAGAUUUUCUCGUUGUGAUUACACAUAGUGAUUUAGCCAGUUAAAUUUUUAUGGGUAGAAUUUAUUUAAUUCCUUGAGUGAGGUUUUAUUGAAAAUUCUGAGGAAUUAGAUACUGUGUGAGUUAUUAAGCGUAAUUGGGAGUUAUAAAACACCAAGAGAGUAUUUGAGUAUUCGAGUAAUUGCAAUCUCUAUUGUAUCGUUUGUUUUAAUAGUAGGAUUCUGUAUUAUUUUCUUUGUGGAUGUAGGUUUCAAUAUUCUAAUCGAAUCAUAAAAAUUCGGUGUCCAAUUUCCCCUCCUUUAUUCUAAUUAAUUUUAACCAUUUUGCUAGGCCAUCUUACUUCGCAACAAAUUGCGUCCGCACUCCUUUCUCAAGAAACCUAGUCAUUCAAGAAGCAGAGCAUUGCAACUGCAAACAGCCAAAGCCCAAACUCGUACAGAAGGAGAGAGAGAGAGAGAAUAGAAGCAUGAGUGCAUGCACGAACCAAGCAAUCACGACGGCCAGUGAAGAUGAAGAGUUCUUGUUCGCCAUGGAAAUGAAUGCUCUGAUAGCACUCCCCUUGGUCUUGAAGGCCACCAUCGAACUGGGGAUCCUCGAAAUACUGGCCGAGUGCGGGCCUAUGGCUCCACUUUCGCCUGCUCAGAUUGCCUCCCG
RNAcentral lists this long non-coding RNA (38089 nucleotides) under Eucalyptus grandis. Its description in RNAcentral is "long non-coding RNA (EGRA_LNC003945)". Lineage: Eukaryota; Viridiplantae; Streptophyta; Magnoliopsida; Myrtales; Myrtaceae. The record is from RNAcentral.